Molecule: ribosomal RNA, 732 nt
Filed under: Clostridioides difficile
Lineage: Bacteria; Bacillati; Bacillota; Clostridia; Peptostreptococcales; Peptostreptococcaceae
Description: bacterial LSU rRNA
Rfam family: Bacterial large subunit ribosomal RNA
Source: RNAcentral
GGGAGUGAAAUAGAACCUGAAACCCUGCACUUACAAGCUGUGGAAGCACAUUUCUUGUGUGACCGCGUACUUUUUGUAGAACGGGCCAACGAGUUACGUUAAGUAGCAAGGUUAAGCACUUAAGGUGCGGAGCCGUAGCGAAAGCGAGUUUUAACUGAGCGUUCAGUUACUUGACGUAGACCCGAAACCGGGCGACCUACCCAUGAGCAGGAGGAAGCGAAAGUAAAAUUUCGUGGAGGUCCGAACCCACGAGCGUUGAAAAGCUCGGGGAUGACUUGUGGGUAGCGGUGAAAUUCCAAUCGAGCCCGGAGAUAGCUGGUUCUCCCCGAAAUAGCUUUAGGGCUAGCCUCAAGGUGAGAGAUACGGAGGUAGAGCACUGAAUGUCCUAGGGGGUAUUGCACCUACCGAAGACUAUCAAACUCCGAAUGCCGUCAUCUUAUACUUGGGAGUCAGACUGUGGGUGAUAAGAUUCAUAGUCGAAAGGGCAACAGCCCAGAUCGUCAGCUAAGGUCCCUAAAUGUAAGUUAAGUGGUAAAGGAUGUGGGAUUGCACAGACAACCAGGAUGUUGGCUUAGAAGCAGCCACUCAUUCAAAGAGUGCGUAAUAGCUCACUGGUCGAGUGAUCCUGCGCCGAAGAUUUCCGGGGCUAAAACUUACUACCGAAGCUACGGCAUCAGUAAUGAUGGGUAGGGGAGCUUCCCAUACGGGUUGAAGCAUGACCGUAAGGACAUG